This 1144-nucleotide long non-coding RNA is filed under the name Lonchura striata (white-rumped munia). RNAcentral describes it as "domestica (Bengalese finch) lncRNA (ENSLSDG00000010465.1)". Lineage: Eukaryota; Metazoa; Chordata; Aves; Passeriformes; Estrildidae. The record is from RNAcentral.
CGUGAGACAAAAACCACACAUUGACUGGUGAACGUGAGACAAAUCACAGUUUAACUGGUAAAUGUGAGACAAAAACCACACAUUGACUGGUGAACGUGAGACAAAUCACAGUUUAACUGGUAAACGUGAGACAAACCACACAUUGACUGGUGAACGUGAGACAAAUCACAGUUUAACUGGUAAACGUGAGACAAAUCACACAUUGACUGGUAAAUGUGAGACAAAUCAUAGUUUAACUGGUAAACGUGAGACAAACCACGCAUUGACUGGUGAACGUGAGACAAAUCACAGUUUAACUGGUAAACCUGUAACAAAAAUCACACAUUGACUGGUGAACGUGAGACAAAAAUCACACAUUGACUGAUAAACCUGAAACAAAAAUCACAGUUUAACUGGUAAACGUGAGACAAAAAUCACAGUUUAACUGGUAAACGUGAAACAAAUCACACAUUGACUGGUAAACCUGAAACAAAUCAUAGUUUAACUGGUAAACGUGAAACAAAUCACAGUUUAACUAGUAAACAUGAAAACAAAAAUCACAGUUCAACUGGUAAACGUGAGACAAAAAUCACAGUUUAACUGGUAAACCUGAAACAAAAAUCACAGUUUAACUGGUAAACGUGAAACAAAAAUCACAGUUUAACUGGUAAACAUGAGACAAAAAUCACAGUUUAACUGGUAAACAUGAGACAAAAAUCACACAUUGACUGGCAAACCUGAAACAAAUCACAGUUUAAGUGAUAAACCUGAGACAAAAAUCACAGUUUAACUGGUAAACAUGAGACAAAAAUCACAUAUUGACUGUAAACCUGAAACAAAUCACAAUUUAAGUGAUAAACCUGAAACAAAAAUCAUACAUUGACUGGUAAACCUGAAACAAAUCACACAUUGACUGGUAAACCUGAAACAAAAAUCACAGUUCAACUGGUAAACGUGAGACAAAAAUCACAGUUUAACUGGUAAACCUGAAACAAACCACAAAUUAACUGGUAAACCUGAAACAAACCACACAUUAACUGGUAAACGUGAAGCAAAUCACAGUUUAACUGGUAAACUUGAAACAAAUCACACAUUAACUGAUAAACGUGAGACAAAAAUCACAGUUUAACUGAUAAACAUGAAAUAAAUUACAAUUUAAGUGACA